Long non-coding RNA from Manis javanica (Malayan pangolin), 1084 nucleotides. RefSeq lists it as uncharacterized. Lineage: Eukaryota; Metazoa; Chordata; Mammalia; Pholidota; Manidae. The record is from RefSeq and is a predicted model, not a curated record.
GAGCCAGCACUCUGAAAAACUGUCAGGAGCUAUUACAAAUGGAGAAUUUGGAAAGGUGUUCAUUUCUGCACUAACGCCGGUAGGGAGGUCAUACCAUUUUAACCAAGGCUACCUAGGACACACAAAACCAGGAUUUGGGAUGGAGUAAAGUUUGGGAAGAGACAUGGGAAUAAAAGGGUCCUUUCCUCUCAGUGCAAACAUGUGACAUAAUUUCAAGAAACAAGCUGCAUUCAAAUUAAUCCCCCUAAAUACUUUAAUUUCCUUUCCCAAAGGAAACUUCAGGGCAUCACUGAGAGCAAAAUUAGAAUACAGUUUGAUCAUCAUUUUCAGAAUUUCAGGAGACGAUUUCAAAGCAUGGAAUAUUUUUUAAAGCAUUGAGUUUUAAGGCGUCCUGAGCUAUCUAACCUAGAAGAGCAAACAGGCUGCCUCGUGGUGUCAUCGGAGAGGCAGAUGUCCAUCUCGCUUGUAAACACAUGCUGCCAGAUGCUCUCUAGCCACAAACUGUCUCCUGCCGCUGCAAAUCCCUGUGAUCCCUGAUCGGUCACCCCCACCUUCCUGUUCCACGUGGCAGCUACGUAAUGGCUCCACAACACCUAUCUGAAGAAAUAAAUAUAAGAGUAAAUAUAGUUAUGAAAGGGAAGUGACAUGAAUAUAAGUAUUUACUCUGGUAUUUUGCAUGUGUGCAAUAUAUUUUUGUAAAGAGCAAGGUUUUGAUUUAAUCUUGAUUAUGAAUUUAUUUCCAAAAUAAAAUUUUCUUUUUUCAGCACAAAACUAAGAGACUCUCUUACAGAUGGUUAGGUAUAAUGAGAGAUUAAACAUAACUUUCAUCUCUUAUAUAGAUACAGUAGCACAAGGGUAAAGAUUAGAUUAUUUUUAUGCUUAUGCUCAAAUGAUCUUUCUCAUGUUUGUCCAUAAAUAUGGUCAGCCAUUCAAGGACAGUGAAAUACUUAUAAACAUGUAUUGUCAUUUAAAUAAAAAUAAGAAAUAGAUUAUUUUUCUGGCAAGGUCUAUCUGAUAAAACACUAUAAUCUAAGCUCAUGGGUUUGUAACUAUUAAUAUUUUUUGCUUUUUUUGUGUGUGCCCC